ACGUAGGAGGAAGGUAAGUGCAGUUAACACCUGCAUUAUUUGACGUUACCUACAGAAGAAGCACCGGCUAACUCCGUGCCAGCAGCCGCGGUAAUACGGAGGGUGCGAGCGUUAAUCGGAAUUACUGGGCGUAAAGCGCAUGCAGGCGGCCUGUUAAGUCAGAUGUGAAAGCCCGGGGCUUAACCUCGGAAUUGCAUUUGAAACUGGCAGGCUAGAGUCUUGUAGAGGGGGGUAGGAAUUUCAGGUGUAGCGGUGAAAUGCGUAGAGAUCUGAAGGAAUACCAGUGGCGAAGGCGGCCCCCUGGACAAAGACUGACGCUCAGAUGCGAAAGCGUGGGGAGCAAACAGGAUUAGAUACCCCUGGUAG
RNAcentral lists this ribosomal RNA (366 nucleotides) under uncultured bacterium. RNAcentral's name for it is "bacterial SSU rRNA". It matches the Rfam family "Bacterial small subunit ribosomal RNA", at positions 430 to 793 of the family's 1533-position model. The record is from RNAcentral.